UGUUAUUGUUGUUGUUGUUGUCAAAGUCAUCAGCCCUACAGAUAUCUUGGGAAGAGCUUGUUCCAGGGGGAGCCCUUCAGGAAGAGAAAAUAGCUAUGCAAAUCAAUGAAUUGAGAAACAUAAACAUGUUCUAGGCUUUAACACUCAAGCAAAUCUCAGGCUUCUCCCACUCAUUCAUUUUUAAAAGUCAAGCUGCAGGAAAUGGAAGCAGUUGAAUGUGAAUAUAAAUACGGAUGUCCUUAGAGAACUGCUGUCAUAAAUUACAUGAUCAGGAAAAGAGCAAAACAAUACAAAAGAUCAUAAUCUCAAAAUCUCCUACUGCCAUCACAGAAAACAGCCCUCCUCUCAAACUCUCUCAGAUCCAUCAGACAACUCGGAUCUCACCUUCUGAUUCAAAGAUGUGAUGCUCAUUUGUAUGAAUACUCCUUCAUGCAUAGAGAGGCUCAGCACCACCUAAUGGUGCUAUAUUAAGGUAACUUUCUUAUUUUUAACCUUUUCCCUGUUUAAAAUAAUCAAAAAAGUGAGAUAGCUGCUGUCUGCAUACCCCAGUUAUUUGCACAAUGGAUAAACUAAGAAAAUUAUUUAGAUGAAGUACUAUGAUACUGACAAAGAUCCAAAGAUUUCAACAUAAGAUGCCAGAUUUUCAAAUGCUUCUUCUUAAAAGUGAUUUAAGUAGUUAUGUUUUCAAAUAAUUGAUAGUUUCCCCAUUCCAACAUGCACUAUUGAGCCCUUAAAAAGAAUUAAGUAAAUCUACAUAUGUUGAUAUGGAAAGUUCUCUAAGAUACCUCAUGUGAAAAACAAGGUGCAGAAGAGUGUGUAGUGGAGUACCUUGGUAUAAAUGGUGUAUCUCUGUGUAUAUAUUCUUGUUUUGCCUAAAAGGCAAUAGGAGAAUUCACA
Non-coding RNA from Callithrix jacchus (white-tufted-ear marmoset), 897 nucleotides. The record is from RefSeq and is a predicted model, not a curated record. NCBI's taxonomy places the organism in Eukaryota, Metazoa, Chordata, Mammalia, Primates, Cebidae.